UUUUUUAAUUAUGUCCGUGCAUCUUUAAUGUAACGACCUAAUCCGCUUGUAAUAUUAUUAUUAGCGUGUAUGCCUCAUAUAUUUUUAAUAAUCCUCAUCAGAAUUAUCAAGAUUACAUAUCACAGACAUACAGACCAUAUGUGGCAGACCAGAAUUUUAGACGAUGUGAGAUUAUGGGUUCAAGUGGUGGCUCCGAAUAAAUCCGUUGGUGUAUCACAUUACCCUAUAUAGCACUUAACUCUCACACUUCCGGCUAGUAUUCGAUUUUGAUACUAAUUGUUUUGAUACUAAUUGUAACGAUUCGACCCGCUAGCAAUAAUAAUUUAUUGGGCCUAAACCACUGACCUAAAAUAUUUAAACCUGAUUAUUAUUACUAGCAUGUAAGUCUCAUAUAUUCUAAAUAAAAUUAUUUUUUCAUCUGAUGUGAGAUAAGAAAUUUUGGGAGUGUUAUGUUUACAUAAGAAAUUUUUUUUGUAACAGAUAGAAUA
This 488-nucleotide long non-coding RNA is filed under the name Ananas comosus (pineapple). Its description in RNAcentral is "long non-coding RNA (ACOM_LNC018760)". The record is from RNAcentral. Lineage: Eukaryota; Viridiplantae; Streptophyta; Magnoliopsida; Poales; Bromeliaceae.